GACGAACGCUGGCGGCGUGCUUAACACAUGCAAGUCGAACGGAAAGGCCCUGCUUUUGUGGGGUGCUCGAGUGGCGAACGGGUGAGUAACACAUGAGUAACCUGCCCUUGACUUUGGGAUAACUUCAGGAAACUGGGGCUAAUACCGGAUAGGAGCUCCUGCUGCAUGGUGGGGGUUGGAAAGUUUCGGCGGUUGGGGAUGGACUCGCGGCUUAUCAGCUUGUUGGUGGGGUAGUGGCUUACCAAGGCUUUGACGGGUAGCCGGCCUGAGAGGGUGACCGGCCACAUUGGGACUGAGAUACGGCCCAGACUCCUACGGGAGGCAGCAGUGGGGAAUAUUGCACAAUGGGCGGAAGCCUGAUGCAGCAACGCCGCGUGCGGGAUGACGGCCUUCGGGUGGUAAACCGCUUUCGCCUGUGACGAAGCGUGAGUGACGGUAAUGGGGAAAGAAGCACCGGCUAACUACGU
This 467-nucleotide ribosomal RNA is filed under the name uncultured bacterium. Its description in RNAcentral is "partial 16S ribosomal RNA". It matches the Rfam family "Bacterial small subunit ribosomal RNA", at positions 28 to 506 of the family's 1533-position model. The record is from RNAcentral.